Molecule: long non-coding RNA, 473 nt
Organism: Dendroctonus ponderosae (mountain pine beetle)
Lineage: Eukaryota; Metazoa; Arthropoda; Insecta; Coleoptera; Curculionidae
Exons: 2
Source: RefSeq, a predicted model, not a curated record
UGAAUCGUAAAUGACAGUGAAAGAAAAGCGACAGUUUCUUAAAGGCUGACGACGGCGAAAAUGAGCCAAAUUGUACAAAGAAUUGGAACAUUUUGAUGCGGAGCUUUUUCGAUUUGGUCUUCCCCGAUUCUUUCAGCCUUGGAUUAGUUCAGUUACAAUUUUGUUCCGUAGUACGAACGGAGGACGAAUUGAAAGAUCCCCAACCAUUAGAAGCACUUUCGUACCAUCGUAUCAUCGUACAAACGGAGGCAUGGGACAGGGGCUUAAGACCAAGAAAACAUGCCAUCAUUUGCACAUCCUGUACAGUAUUUCUAUUCCAUUUUUGCGUGUAUCUUAUAUAAUAAAUUUUGCUUUCUUGGACAAAAAAAAUCCGUUAAAAAUUAGGGAAUAUUUAAGCUUCGCUUAAAAUUUGCUCGCAAUGUAUGUACAGAAAGUCUUGUGUAUUCUAAAAUAAAAUAACAUUGCUUCCAUUA